This 429-nucleotide ribosomal RNA is filed under the name Chloroflexota bacterium. Its description in RNAcentral is "Chloroflexi bacterium partial 16S ribosomal RNA". It matches the Rfam family "Bacterial small subunit ribosomal RNA", at positions 355 to 776 of the family's 1533-position model. The record is from RNAcentral. Lineage: Bacteria; Bacillati; Chloroflexota.
UGGGGAAUAUUGCACAAUGGGCGCAAGCCUGAUGCAGCCAUGCCGCGUGUGUGAAGAAGGCCUUCGGGUUGUAAAGCACUUUCAGCGGGGAGGAAGGCGUUAAGGUUAAUAACCUUGGCGAUUGACGUUACCCGCAGAAGAAGCACCGGCUAACUCCGUGCCAGCAGCCGCGGUAAUACGGAGGGUUCAAGCGUUAAUCGGAAUUACUGGGCGUAAAGCGCACGCAGGCGGUCUGUCAAGUCGGAUGUGAAAUCCCCGGGCUCAACCUGGGAACUGCAUUCUAAACUGGCAGGCUAGAGUCAUGUAGAGGGGGGUAGAAUUCCAGGUGUAGCGGUGAAAUGCGUAGUGAUCUGGAGGAAUACCGGUCGCGAAGGCGGCCCCCUGGACAAAGACUGACGCUCAGGUGCGAAAGCGUGGGGAGCAAACAGG